CGCGUAGGAGGCGAGCGUUAUCCGGAUUUACUGGGCGUAAAGCGCGUGCAGGCGGUUGCGUAAGUUGGAUGUGAAAGCUCCUGGCUUAACUGGGAGAGGUCGUUCAAAACUGCGUAACUAGAGAGCGAAAGAGGGAGGUAGAAUUCCGAGUGUAGUGGUGAAAUGCGUAGAUAUUCGGAGGAAUACCAGAGGCGAAGGCGGCCUCCUGGUUCGCAACUGACGCUGAGACGCGAAAGCUAGGGUAGGAAACGGGAUUAGGGACCCCGGUAGUCCUAGCUGUAAACGAUGUAGACUAGACGUUGGCGAUGUAAAAGGUGUCAGUGUCGGAGCAAACGCGAUAAGUCUACCGCCUGGGGAUUACGGCCGCAAGGCUAAA
RNAcentral lists this ribosomal RNA (376 nucleotides) under uncultured bacterium. Its description in RNAcentral is "bacterial SSU rRNA". It matches the Rfam family "Bacterial small subunit ribosomal RNA", at positions 524 to 898 of the family's 1533-position model. The record is from RNAcentral.